AGUACAAAUGAAGCAUCCAGGAGCUGGCCAAUCAUCUCGUAUCCCAUAGGCAGCCAGAGGAGUGAUAAUGACCAUGGAGCUGGCUGAGCCGGGAGCUGGAUGGGAAGCAGAGCUGCCAGGAUUAGAACUGGCUCCCAUAUGGGAUCUUGGCACGUGCAAGGACGAGCUAGCAUCCUGCUGUUGGCGACUGUACCAGUCCCUGCUCACCUCUUCGCUUC
Molecule: long non-coding RNA, 218 nt
Organism: Ochotona princeps (American pika)
Lineage: Eukaryota; Metazoa; Chordata; Mammalia; Lagomorpha; Ochotonidae
Exons: 3
Source: RefSeq, a predicted model, not a curated record